RNAcentral lists this ribosomal RNA (564 nucleotides) under Streptomyces sp. 319B02. Its description in RNAcentral is "bacterial SSU rRNA". It matches the Rfam family "Bacterial small subunit ribosomal RNA", at positions 93 to 671 of the family's 1533-position model. RNAcentral also lists the same sequence under 3 other names. The record is from RNAcentral. Lineage: Bacteria; Bacillati; Actinomycetota; Actinomycetes; Kitasatosporales; Streptomycetaceae.
UAGUGGCGAACGGGUGAGUAACACGUGGGCAAUCUGCCCUUCACUCUGGGACAAGCCCUGGAAACGGGGUCUAAUACCGGAUAACACCUGCCUGGGCAUCUGGGUGGGUUAAAAGCUCCGGCGGUGAAGGAUGAGCCCGCGGCCUAUCAGCUUGUUGGUGAGGUAGUGGCUCACCAAGGCGACGACGGGUAGCCGGCCUGAGAGGGCGACCGGCCACACUGGGACUGAGACACGGCCCAGACUCCUACGGGAGGCAGCAGUGGGGAAUAUUGCACAAUGGGCGAAAGCCUGAUGCAGCGACGCCGCGUGAGGGAUGACGGCCUUCGGGUUGUAAACCUCUUUCAGCAGGGAAGAAGCGAGAGUGACGGUACCUGCAGAAGAAGCGCCGGCUAACUACGUGCCAGCAGCCGCGGUAAUACGUAGGGCGCAAGCGUUGUCCGGAAUUAUUGGGCGUAAAGAGCUCGUAGGCGGCUUGUCACGUCGGGUGUGAAAGCCCGGGGCUUAACCCCGGGUCUGCAUUCGAUACGGGCUAGCUAGAGUGUGGUAGGGGAGAUCGGAAUUCCU